GAUGAAGAACGCAGUGAAAUGCGAUAAGUAAUGUGAAUUGCAGAAUUCAGUGAAUCAUCGAAUCUUUGAACGCAUCUUGCGCUCCUUGGUAUUCUGAGGAGCAUGCCUGUUUGAGUGUCAUUAAAUUCUCAACUACACUGACUUUGAAUUGGUGUGGCUUGGAUUUGGGGGGAAAAUUGUUGUGGGCUUUUUGUAUAGUCUGCUCCCCUGAAAUUGAUUAGCGGUACCUUUGUGGAACUGUCUACAGGUGUGAUAAUUAUCUACAUCUUAGACAUCUGCUGGAAUGCUGCUUUCUAAACCUUACUUGUAUUGACAAUCUUGACCUCAAAUCAGGUAGGACUACCCGCUGAACUUAAGCAUAUCAAUAAGCGGAGA
This 375-nucleotide unclassified non-coding RNA is filed under the name soil metagenome. RNAcentral describes it as "partial contains 5.8S ribosomal RNA, internal transcribed spacer 2, and large subunit ribosomal RNA". The stretch from base 1 to 120 matches the Rfam family "5.8S ribosomal RNA", at positions 35 to 154 of the family's 154-position model. The record is from RNAcentral.